GGGCCGGUAGAUCAACGGUAGAUCGCACCCUUGGCAUGGGUGAGGUUCCGGGUUCAAAUCCCGGCCGGUCCA
The sequence is a transfer RNA, 72 nucleotides long. It matches the Rfam family "tRNA". Rfam says of the family: Transfer RNA (tRNA) molecules are approximately 80 nucleotides in length. Their secondary structure includes four short double-helical elements and three loops (D, anti-codon, and T loops).